AGAUAGAGCCCUCCCAUCAUUUGCCUUUCGUGUCGCAUGCCAGGCACCAUGACUCCACUGCUUGAACGCCGCUGCCUCCAGCUCACGUAGUUGCUUGUUUGAGGUGGGAUCCAUCUUUCACUCGCAAGCUCAGCUGUCCUUCUACGUGUUUGGUGGCUCAAGACCAUGUGUUUGCGACCCCUUCGCCUGCGCACCACGCGCUUGUUCGCCUGCUGCAGGUAAUGGCCGGCACGAGGCACUGCUUCAUGGUUCGACAUGUGGGUUGCACCACGAACACGACGUGCUGUGCGGCUUUGCAACGCAACGUGCACAAGAUAUCCUUUUCCGUUGGUACGUGGACAGCUGUUCACGGGCUGGGGACUGGACGCGGUGGUGCCAGCGUGUUUGUGUAGCCAGGGAGUUGGUGGAUGGGCAAGGGCAAGGAAAGGGAUGAAACCAUGAAUCCGCCCUCCGCAUUCCGCGUGCACACUUGGACGAGAUUCCACAAAACAUUGGCCGAUUCCUACUACGGGCCUGAUGCGUGCGCACGUAUGCACGAAACGCAUGCACGCGCACAGGUGCGGGAUGUUUGAAGCCGGUCACGAGUCAGGUGGAGAUCAACGGCCGCAAGUGGUCCAGCUGGUCCACCGUGUUCACGAAGCGGGGAACGGAUACAAACGGUACGCAAGCGCCCCUAAUUCCGGGAUGUAACAGGACAAGGUUCCUUACCUAUGGCUAGCGUAUGUCCAUAUGGACCUAGGGCUGGGUAGGUCGUGGAGAAUAUUCCGCGACGCAUUUCUGGACCACUCCGCAAGGGGACCAAGUACCCACGCACUUCCGUCUCCCGUCUUGCAGGUACGGUAGUGUUCGGAUACGAUGUCCGUAUCUACGACAUGCAAUUCAAUGCCACCACGUUUCCCGGCACUUCCAUCUGCAUGACAACCAAGGAGCCCUGCGCCAGCAUCCAGCAGCUGUGCGGCACCACGACAGGAACGUGCAAGUGAGUACGGAGAGAGACUUGCACGGGUCGAGCUCGCCUAGCUGGGGACGGCCCGGUCCUGGUUUGUGCUGGUGCGUGACACCGUUGUGCACCUGCUUACCUGUUUGCUCGCAGAUACGCUGUAUUUGACAGCCAUAACGCCAGUCGAUGCUGCCCAGUCUGUACGGUGGCACCGCUCCCACCACCGGCGCCGCUGUCGCCCGAGCCACCGUCACCGAUGGUGCCGCCCCCUCCCCCUCCACCUCCCCCUCCACCUCCCCCGCCCCCUCCCCCUCCAUCUCCCCCGACCCCUCCACCUCCACCUCCCCCACCCCCACCCCCGCCGACACCCAUCUGUCGCACCUGCGCUGUCAUUACGAUUCAGCCCCCAUCCAACAUCGCCAGGCCUGUCAACACCUUCUUCUCCAGCCCCGAGAACUGCAGUCGGACAUCAAGCAUCAUUAUUUCAAACUUCACCGCCGCGCUAGAGGCCGCUGGCGUCUCAAUCCGGCAACCGUUUACCUGGAAUUGCACCGGAAACUACGAGCCCGGCCAGUCAAUUCUGCCGCGGCUCUUCGUGUGCGGCUUAUACGAUGUUCCAGCCAGCCGCACUGUCUUGGAGGAGGCCCUGCGCAACGUGACGGCGAGCUGGGUUGCAUUUGUAAUAGGCACACCCGUGGUUCUCGGACAGAAGGACCGUGCUGAAUGCCCUGUGGGUCUUGAGGGAUACGCUUUCGAAGGCGCGUUGGAUUCGGGGAUUAACGCUGACCCCCGGUGCCCCUAUGGUUCCUCGGUAAUAAACUGUACCGAACGGUAUGCGCCUUUUCCCCCGUCGCCAUUGCCACCGCUACCGCCGCCAUCGCCGGUGCCUGUGAAGGUGGGUUGCGCAGCAGCACGGCUAGCCUAGCUAUACUUAACGCGCCUGAUGACCAUAGGCGUUCCCUAUGAUUGGCAUCGUGAUUGAGCAUGAUAUGCAUGGCACGCAAGCAGGCCUUAGCACUGCGUCCUUGAUUCAUGCACAACGCCAAAACCAACCGACAGCUGUCCUCAGAGCAUCUUCAUGCCGCCACGCCAGAACCCUUUGAGCUCAUUUGGUCUUCAUACCCGCGCCAUGCCCGUGUCUGUUUUGGACUGCAGACGCACAACUGCUCCCAGGCCACCAAAAAUGUGCCUUAUUACCUCGACAAGAUCGAGACAUACAACACCACGGACAGGAGCGGGCAACGGCUGGUCGCUAUGUGUACAACGAUUCAAGAGAUGGACUGCAAUGACGACGCCAAAUGUUGCGGCAUGGAUGCGGCCAAGGUGAGUGAGUGAGUGAGUGGGUCUGGCAGGACGCGUACUGGUACAGCUACCACCGAUAAAGAUAGCUUUUCACGAACUGGCUGGAGAUGUAGGUCAG
Molecule: long non-coding RNA, 2360 nt
Filed under: Volvox carteri
Lineage: Eukaryota; Viridiplantae; Chlorophyta; Chlorophyceae; Chlamydomonadales; Volvocaceae
Description: long non-coding RNA (VCAR_LNC001303)
Source: RNAcentral